UACGAAGGGAACUAGCGUUGUUCGGAAUCACUGGGCGUAAAGCGCGCGCAGGCGGACUAACAAGUCAGAGGUGAAAUCCCAAGGCUCAACCUUGGAAUUGCCUUUGAAACUGUUAGUCUGGAGUGCAUGAGGGGAUAGCGGAAUUUCGAAUGUAGCAGUGAAAUGCGUAGAUAUUCGAAGGAACACCGGUGGCGAAGGCGGCUAUCUGGCAUGCAACUGACGCUGAGGCGCGAAAGCGUGGGGAUCAAACAGG
This 253-nucleotide ribosomal RNA is filed under the name uncultured bacterium. Its description in RNAcentral is "partial 16S ribosomal RNA". It matches the Rfam family "Bacterial small subunit ribosomal RNA", at positions 524 to 776 of the family's 1533-position model. The record is from RNAcentral.